GGGUCAACUUGUUGCUCAAUGGUUCCAAUGAGUCAUUAUCUAUGUUAAUUAUUUUACUAACAACAAAGUUCUUCCAAGAACAAUGCAAAGUUUUGCUUGUUACAAUCUAAGGGCCCAUUUGACCGCCGGUAAUCUAGCAUGGAAAAAUAAAGCCCAUGCCAUGUUACUUUAUUUGGUAUAAAAAGUAGAUGAGAGAAAUGGUAAAAUAAAAAAUUAAAAUUAUAUUUAUUUUUCUAAGAACAAAGAUAAAAUGAAUACUAUCAAAAAAAAAAGAUAUUUAUUUUUCAUGUUGGAUUAUUAAGUAGAAAUAAUCU
This 314-nucleotide long non-coding RNA is filed under the name Elaeis guineensis (African oil palm). RNAcentral describes it as "long non-coding RNA (EGUI_LNC006359)". Lineage: Eukaryota; Viridiplantae; Streptophyta; Magnoliopsida; Arecales; Arecaceae. The record is from RNAcentral.